AUGGUACAUGGCAAGCAUCUGCCGGAACUAGAGGCGAGAACUUUUCAAUCAAUUACGAGAGGCAUUCGCUUCUCUGAGGUGAGGGGUACGAUUGUGGAAGAUCCCGUGGAGGCAGGGGUUGGAGAUGUGAUGCAAGGGUGCGGGGAAUUGGGUGGAAGGACAGUUGUUAAUGUGGAGUCAGGACGGGCGUGA
RNAcentral lists this ribosomal RNA (192 nucleotides) under Triticum aestivum (bread wheat). RNAcentral's name for it is "partial small subunit ribosomal RNA". Lineage: Eukaryota; Viridiplantae; Streptophyta; Magnoliopsida; Poales; Poaceae. The record is from RNAcentral.